ACUUAAAUGUUGAAGGAAUGAGUACAUAUUAUUUUUAUAAUAGAAAGCUUAUGGUAGAUGGAAAUAAGUAUAAAAUAGUAUGGAAGAUGACUCUGGAGUUUAAGCGGAGACUCAACCGUUAAAAGAGAAAGUUGCAUGAAAUAAAAUCAUGAAUUAAGGUGGUACCGCGGGAUUUAUCUCGUCCUUAGU
Molecule: non-coding RNA, 189 nt
Filed under: Mycoplasma sp.
Lineage: Bacteria; Bacillati; Mycoplasmatota; Mollicutes; Mycoplasmatales; Mycoplasmataceae
Description: T-box sequence
Rfam family: T-box leader
About the family: Uncharged tRNA acts as the effector for transcription antitermination of genes in the T-box leader family. T-boxes are found upstream of many aminoacyl-tRNA synthetase genes and some amino acid biosynthetic genes usually in Gram-positive bacteria.
Source: RNAcentral